This is a long non-coding RNA of Syngnathus acus (greater pipefish), 250 nucleotides long. RefSeq lists it as uncharacterized. Lineage: Eukaryota; Metazoa; Chordata; Actinopteri; Syngnathiformes; Syngnathidae. The transcript is spliced from 2 exons. The record is from RefSeq and is a predicted model, not a curated record.
CUAUCUCACGGUACUGCACAAUAGCCGACGAGAUUCAGUUCAAGUGAGAUCAAAUUCACUUGGUUAAAUGAUUUUUUAUGGCGCAGUGCAACACCCUGUUGGCGGGAAUGGGACGCUUGUGGCGACAGUCUGGGAUCAACUAGGAGGUCUAUGUCUUUGGAGACCACUUUUAGGUCUUCGUAAUAGUCAUAAAUGUCACUGUUUUAUAGCGUCUUUUUUUCAGUAUAUUCCCACUCUGAUGUUACUGACA